This 202-nucleotide long non-coding RNA is filed under the name Ricinus communis (castor bean). RNAcentral's name for it is "long non-coding RNA (RCOM_LNC001733)". The record is from RNAcentral. Lineage: Eukaryota; Viridiplantae; Streptophyta; Magnoliopsida; Malpighiales; Euphorbiaceae.
UCCUCGAGGUAUCAUUGCAAUUAAAUGUUUAUUCUUUUUUGUGGCAUAAUUAAUGGAAAAAAAGAGCCUUUUAAGCCUAAAACAAUAUAAUUAGAAAUGGUUUCCACUGCAUCUGCUCUAUGGCAAACAUUUCUUUUUCUUUUUUCUUUUUUCUUUUUAAUGAUUACAACAGUUUGAUUUCCCAUUUCAGAAAACCAACUUU